GUCCCUAAAUUAAAAUACAAAAAAAUAAAAGGCUGGGGAUGUGGCUCAGUGGUUAAGUACCCCUAAGUUCAAUCACCAGUACCAAAAAAAAGGACCCUGUAAUUCCUAAUGUCCCUCCAGAGUACCCUAUAUCUCUCCUUCUUUUUGCAGCAAAAGCUGAUAGACACAGGAAAACUAUUUGAGUCUUAGUUUGCCUUUGUAAAGAGUAAUUUGAAGUAGACCAUCCAAUAUUUGAUAAGAAAUAAACAUUUCCCCCCACCCCUGGUAUUUUCCUGUUACUUUACAGAAGCUAAGGGUUGAGAGUCCAGGAUUCUCCCAUUUCCACUCUUCUAAUCAGGAACAAAGGUCAAACACAGCCACUGGUGAUUACCCAUCUGGGGUGAAAAUUUCAGGCCAAAACAGCAGGGUUCGAGGAAGAGGGAUUACCCACUUACUAGAAAGCAUCCCAAUUCCUCCAGCAAUAUCCACAAAUUCUCCAACUGUGAGACCUCACUCUCACCUUACAUGUCCCAAAAAGAUGGGUAUAAAUCUUUCUCUUCUUUGUCUUAAUGAUGGUACUUUUUUCAACUUCUGGAAAAAUAACAGGCCCAACUUCCCUUCUGACUACAGUCGUAUUAAACACAUAAAUCACAUCAAUGAUAAAUGUCACUACUCUAAAGACUAUGUAAUUUGUAAGGAAACUCUGUUUCAUAGAUUAAAAAUAAUUGUGGUUGAAGA
This is a non-coding RNA of Ictidomys tridecemlineatus (thirteen-lined ground squirrel), 717 nucleotides long. The record is from RefSeq and is a predicted model, not a curated record. Lineage: Eukaryota; Metazoa; Chordata; Mammalia; Rodentia; Sciuridae.